RNAcentral lists this ribosomal RNA (253 nucleotides) under uncultured bacterium. RNAcentral describes it as "partial 16S ribosomal RNA". It matches the Rfam family "Bacterial small subunit ribosomal RNA", at positions 524 to 776 of the family's 1533-position model. The record is from RNAcentral.
UACGUAGGCAGCGAGCGUUGUUCGGAGUUACUGGGCGUAAAGAGUGCGUAGGCGGUUUUCUAAGUUUGGUGUGAAAUCUCCCGGCUCAACUGGGAGGGUGCGCCGAAGACUGGAAGGCUUGAGUAUGGGAGAGGUAAGCGGAAUUCCUGGUGUAGCGGUGAAAUGCGUAGAUAUCAGGAGGAACACCGGUGGCGAAGGCGGUUCUCUGGGCAUGACCUGACGCUGAGGAGCGAAAGUGUGGGGAGCGAACAGG